CCUACGGGAGGCAGCAGUGAGGAAUAUUGGUCAAUGGACGAAAGUCUGAACCAGCCAAGUCGCGUGAGGGAUGACUGCCCUAUGGGUUGUAAACUUCUUUUAUCAAGGAAUAAAACGAGGCACGUGUGCCUUUUUGCAUGUACUUUAUGAAUAAGGAUCGGCUAACUCCGUGCCAGCAGCCGCGGUAAUACGGAGGGACAGAGCGUUAUCCGGAUUUAUUGGGUGUAAAGGGAGGCUUGAUGGGUUGUUAAGUCAGUGGUGAAAGUUUUGGGCUAAACCGUAAAAUUGCAAUUGAUACUGGCAGUCUUGAGUAGACGUGAGGUAUGCGGAAGGCGUGGUGUAGCGGUGAAAUGCUUAGAUAUCACGCAGAACCCCGAUUGCGAAGGCAGCUUAGCAACC
This 399-nucleotide ribosomal RNA is filed under the name uncultured bacterium. Its description in RNAcentral is "partial 16S ribosomal RNA". It matches the Rfam family "Bacterial small subunit ribosomal RNA", at positions 338 to 734 of the family's 1533-position model. The record is from RNAcentral.